CCCUUAGAGUUUGAUCCUGGCUCAGAUUGAACGCUGGCGGAAUGCUUUACACAUGCAAGUCGAACGGCAGCACGGGUGCUUGCACCUGGUGGCGAGUGGCGAACGGGUGAGUAAUACAUCGGAACGUACCCAGUUAUGGGGGAUAACUAACCGAAAGGUUAGCUAAUACCGCGUACGCCCUGAGGGGGAAAGCGGGGGACCGUAAGGCCUCGCGUAAUUGGAGCGGCCGAUGUCUGAUUAGCUAGUUGGUGAGGUAAAGGCUCACCAAGGCGACGAUCAGUAGCAGGUCUGAGAGGAUGAUCUGCCACACUGGAACUGAGACACGGUCCAGACUCCUACGGGAGGCAGCAGUGGGGAAUUUUGGACAAUGGGGGAAACCCUGAUCCAGCCAUUCCGCGUGAGUGAAGAAGGCCUUCGGGUUGUAAAGCUCUUUCGGCAGGGAAGAAACGCUCUGGGUUAAUAACCCGGGGUAAUGACGGUACCUGAAGAAGAAGCACCGGCUAACUACGUGCCAGCAGCCGCGGUAAUACGUAGGGUGCGAGCGUUAAUCGGAAUUACUGGGCGUAAAGCGUGCG
RNAcentral lists this ribosomal RNA (575 nucleotides) under uncultured bacterium. RNAcentral describes it as "bacterial SSU rRNA". It matches the Rfam family "Bacterial small subunit ribosomal RNA", at positions 1 to 571 of the family's 1533-position model. The record is from RNAcentral.